This 273-nucleotide long non-coding RNA is filed under the name Homo sapiens (human). RNAcentral's name for it is "HSALNT0163004". Lineage: Eukaryota; Metazoa; Chordata; Mammalia; Primates; Hominidae. The record is from RNAcentral.
GAAUUGAAGCCAAAAUAUGUGAAAUGGAUACUGGAGGGCCACAGUUUAUUCAUCACAAGUUUGGGUCUAAAUAUCAGCAAUUUUUUGCAUACCAGCUUCUCUAACUGAACAGUGAACUCCAUUUGAAGUAUUUAAUACCUAAACUGAGAAGGCAUGGUGUUCCUAGAAGAGCUUGGUGUCUCCAAGUAGUGGAAUCUGAAAGCCAAUAGGCUCGUCCUCUUUCUGCUAUUGGCUAGAUGGUCAAAGAACAUCUAUUAGUCUGGAAUUUUCAGA